CAAAGUUGAUUGGACCUAGGGUAUAAUAGUUGCAAACUCUCACUUGCACUAGAUCCAAUCACUUAGGUAUCCAAUAUCAUAAGUCUACAUGACGAUCAUGUUUAUGCUACGACAACUCUGUCGGUAGAUUUGCAAUAUUGUUAAAUGUGGGAAUUUGUUCUUCUCUUUACGUCAUUUCUAUAUAUUAUCUCUCUGAUGAGAUUAUAUCGCCUUAAUACAUGUUUGGAUCAUUGAUGAGACCUUAGUUCCUUCGCUUUCGCAAUGGCUCUAUUGUUAUCACAAUACAAUGGCAUGUGAUCAACAAUAUCAGGAACCACUCCAAGUUCAUUUAUGAACAUCAUGAUUUAGAUUGCAAUUCUUUGCUACUUCUGAAGUAAUCAUGUAUUAGGUUUCUACUAUUGAAUCAACAGUUGCUUUACGUUUGAAACAUUUUCAACAUACCGCUUAAGAGUAAACCAGUUUUUCCAUAUGAAAUCUUCUCAAGGUUUCAUCUAUGUAAAUUGGGAAGAGUUAAGCAAUCUUCUAGAUCUACGUCUAUAGAUCAAGUUGCUUCUCCCAUAUCGUUCAUGAAUAAAUCCUUUAACAAUCAUUAUUUCAACAAUUGAAACAUAGGGAUGUUGUUUUCUAUAAUAUUAGGAAUACGACAAUGCUCUCACUAUCUUCUUGUAAACACACAAUUUGUCUUCAAAUUUGAAAAAAUCAAACACUUUGAUUUUUUCAUCAAACCUAAGAUUUCAACUCCAAGAGACUUCUCUUAACCUAUAGUCACGGUAUGCAACUGUUGCAAGCAAAACCCGAAUGGAUUUCAGCAAGGCUACAGGAGAAAAGUUUCACCAAGGUCAACACUUAACCUUUGCUUCUAGCCUUGCUUUGUAUAUAUGAAUAUUUCCAUCCAUAUCGAUCUUUUCCUUGUAAACUAUUUACAAAAAUUUAUGGGUUUUAUUCCAUCAGGAGGUUUGACAAAGGUCCAAACUUUAUUCACAUACGUCGAGUUCAUCUCGAGUUUUAUAGUCUCUUGCUGUCUCUUUUAAGUCAACACUUGACUUUAUUUUGUUGCAACUAACAUGUUCAUUAUCCUGGAUCAGUAAUACCUGAUUAGUAAUCAUGGAUUCGCACCUUCUUGAAGCUCGAAUGAUCCUACUAGAUUCACAUAGAGCUGAUAUGUCCUCAAGAGUCUUUACUUCCUGAUCAAGAGCGUGUCUCGUCUCAGAUAUGAGAUCAAACUCGGAUUUAUCUACUUGGUUAACUAUAUUUGUGGACUCUUAAACUCUUUCAAGUUCUAUUUUGCUCUCACUAUCCUCCUUAGAGUAAACGUUUUCUCUAAAAAGACAAUAUGUCGUGAGACGAAGACUUUUUUCAUGAUAAUAGAAUUAUAUUUAAAUGUCUAUUUUGAAUAUCCCCACAAAUACGUAUUUAUCGGAUUUAAUAUCAAACUUAUCUGAUUCAAGGUGCUUCAAAUAAGCGUCAUGGCCCCCAAACUUUCAUAUGAGAUAAAUUGGGACUACCGCCUUUCCAUAACUCGUAUGGAUUUCUGUUAACCAACUUAAAUGUGACAUGAUUUAGUGUGUUACACACUGCAAUCAAUGCAUGACCCCAAAACAAUUCUGGGAGAUUUGCAUGGCUUGUUAUUAAUCACAUUAUAUCUAAUAAUUAACGAUUCAUCCUUUUAGAUACACACUAUGCUGUAGUGUAUGUGAAGGAGUCCACUGCAAGAGAAUCUCAUUCUCUCUAAGAUAAUCUAGAUUUUAUCUUUAAGAUACUCUCACUUGAUCGAAUCUUAAUGUGAGUGUAUCUUUACCUAUUUAUUUCUCUACUUCUAGAUUGAAUCCUUUGAACUUUUCAAGAGUUUCAUGUUUGAGUUUCAUCAAGUAUACAUGAUCAUUGAUGAAAUAAGAGAAACAUUACCUGACAUCAAUUGACAUGAAUCCAUAUGCAUCACUAUACAUUAGACCAAUAAUUAUGCUCACCUUUCUUCUUUUCAAGUAAAAGAAUAUUUGGUUAUUGCGUCAGACAUGCAUAAUUUGUACUUGUCAAAAUCAACUAAUCCCGAGUAUACAUUUUUAUGUAACUUUGAAAUUACAUUUCAUCUAUAUGACAAAGUUUGUCAUGCCAGAUUUCGGUAAUAAUUAGACUAUCGCAUUUAUACCUUAUAAUUUCUAUACUCAUUAUAGAAUCAUUAGUAUUAAAGAAUAUAAACGUCAUUUUGUAAUUUACCAUAGUCAUUAUAUUUUUAUCAAGAUAAACAAGAACAACAAUUGUCCUUAACAAUAAAAUAGUUCAUGUCCGAAUAUGAAAUUCUUUUUAAUGUUCCAGCUAUGGUGGGUAUAAAGCGACAUUUCUCUAAUUUCAAUACUAAACCAAAAGGCAACGACAAGAAGUAUAUUCCUACAGGCAAUGCAGCAACCUUUGCUCAUAUCCAACGUGUAGGUCAACUUCUCCCUUUCGCAGUGGUCUACUUGUAUUUAGUUUCUCCAUAUUUGUAUAAAUAUGAGAUUUACAUCUGGUAUCAAAUACCUAAGAAACUCGUGAAGUAAACAUAAGCCACACAAUAUUCCUUUCAAUGACUUAUCAUUCUAUAAUGAAACCAAUGGUCAUUAGAUUUGGUAUUGUUCUUCGCUUAGACUGUCUUAACCAUAUUAGGUGCUUUCCCAAAACUCCUUUAGACUUCCUCUUAAUACCCUUAGAGGAAUCAAUGGCUUGCCCCACUUCUAACUUUGUUAUUGAGUAUAACAGUCCUAAGCAUGUUAAACAACUUAAUAAGUAUGCAUUCGAGCUUAUUCAUAUCAUAAUUCAUAAUUAGAAUGAAUAACUCUAUGAUAGAGAUUGCAGAGUUAAGUCAAUACUUAAUUCAUAGUUAAUGAUUGAACUCAAUUGAGACACUUCUCAUGUCAAUCAUCUUCAGUACAUGACAUUGACUGAAGAUUCUAUUGUCACUUUGCAUCGGUAUAGUUGUUUGGAAGUCUCAUAUCCUUCUACACAUGAUUAUUAUCAUACAAUUCUUUGAAAUGAAAAAUCAUGUGUUAUCAUGUUAGCAUAUAUACUUUCAUGUUGCUUCUGUAACUCAGGUGACAUAGUUGCAAGUAUCACAUACGUUGCAGUACUAUCGUCAUCACUGCGUUUAUUACAGUAGACAUCUCUUCUUUAAUCGAGUCAUCAGCAGUUGUCUCUGGAAAGGGUUACUCAAGGACGUGACCAAUUUUCUCAUGCAUGAGAACAAUUCUCAAAUUGCAGUGUCAAUUAAGAAAAUCUAGUUUGGUUGUUGACAUCUAGUAUGCCGUUCAAAACAUAUGGUUACUUAAGGUUCAAUGUAAAUGAUGAAAAGAAAAUAAAUAAUAUAUAAAAUACAUCAAUUAAUUUAACAUGGACUUUUAUUAAAUUAAUUAUGCUCCCACUGUUUAACUAAAAUUUGUGACCCUCUUACAUAAAUUUAUGGAGUCCAUACUUGAUUCUCAGUGGGCUGGAAUCCCAUCUAUUAUAUUAAGAUCUUGAGUGUACUCAACAAGCCUUAAUAUAACAUUUGCAUAGAUAGUAUUAUCAAUUGUAUCUCCAUAUAAUUUCUAGAUCAUUAAGCUGACAACUCUUUAUCUUCACACAUCUUAUGUAUUAGUUUAACAUGCCUCUAAAAUUUAUCUCUUUGUUUAAAAUUUAUCUCUUUGAGUGUACUCACAAAAGAUAGAUUUUAGUUAAGUCAAACCCAUCAUUUAGAAAUAUCAAAUAUUUCAUAGUGUUAAACAUAUCCCUAAUAGACCAUCUAUGAGUGUACUCAACAAGUUGAGAUCAUUUGGGACUCUGAUUUUUCACUAUAAUGAUGAAAGGCGAUUAUAAAUGUGACUUAAUAUUUUACGAAGGAAUUUUGCAUUCAAGGGUCUCAUUGUAACAAUCAUAUAUAUUUUAUUAUACAUCUACCAUGCAAAUAAAUAUAUAUAUAACAUAAUAUAAUAGUGUGGACGAUUAUGGACUUUACAAUCUACUCUUCCCGAGCCAUAAGGAAGACUAGUUGGUCAAUUUUUAGGGGAUAUUACAUUGAUCAGUAUCAAUGCACCAUCUCCAUGGUCUCCUCCUCUUCUUUUUUCUUUAAUUAGUCCAAUUGCAACAUGUAUCCUAUAUUAGAUGGCACGCAGGCCUAAACGAAAUUAGACUCGCAGGCCCAUAAUAAUAACAAUAAUAACGGGCUCGCAGGCCCAAAACAAUUAAGAGUUCGCAGGCUCACAAAAUGACAAGAAUAAAAAUUAACCAUUCAACACAUCCAUAUGGUCGAGUUCAUAAUCGUCCACUAAUAAUACAUUCAUUACAUAAAUGUAUGUAUAUAUAAUAUCUAAUAUUACAUGAAAACAUGUUUCAAGUUUCUAGCAAUUAAGAUCAUCUAAACUCUUUUAGAAAAAUGAAUCGAAACAAUUAAAUAAUUAAUUAACCAUAUUAAUCAAUUAUUUAAUUAGCGGGCAUAUUUAAUUAAAAUCAAAUUUUAAUUAAAUAACGAAUUAGAGUCCAACUCUAACUCAACAAUUAUAGGGCGGGAUAAAUAUCAAAUUAGUGUCAAACUCUAAUUUCAAAAUUUAAGGCAGUUGAAUUUAAUUAAAAUCAAAUGUUAAUUAAAUAACAAAAUUAGAGUCCAACUCUAAUUCCAAAAUUUUAGGGCGAAUUUAUUUAAUCAAAAUCAUAUUUCAAUUAAAUAUCAAAUUAGAGUCCAACUCUAAUUCCGAGAAGAAAUUCAGGGCGAGACAAUUUAAUUAAAUGUCAAAUUAGAAUCCAAUUCUAAAUUCAAGAAAUGCUAGGGUAAAUUAUUUAAUUAAAAUCAAAUUUUAAUUAAAUAUUAAAUCAGAGUCCAACUCUAAUCCCAAGGAAAAUUUUAGGGUAAGACAAUUUAAUUAAAAUCAAAUUUCAAUUAAACGUCAGAUUAGAAUCCGAUUCUAACUUCUAGAAUAUAUUCGAGGUGAAUAAUUAAUUAAAAUCAAAUUUUAAUUAAGUAUUAAAUUAGAGUCAAACUCUAAUUUAAAUUGAAUUAAUAUUUUAAUUUAUGAUAACGCCCCUAAAUAAAAUAAAAUUCAAUUAGGAUCAAAGUUUAAUAUUUAAGUUAAAAUUCAAUUUUAACAAAAAAUAUAAAGUGUCGUCAAAUUUAAAUAAAAUUUUAAACCUGGAUCAAAAUUAAAAUUAUUGGUCAAACAUAAUUAAAAACCUAACUUUUAAAACCAUUUUAAUAUUUAAAUUCAAAACCCUUUUGAAAAUUGCAAGUUGACCCAAGAAUGAAAUUAAAAGCAAGUCCCUCAAUUUCGAAAAUUGCAUGACAAGCCAUCCAUUUAAAAAUUGCAAUUUUGACCCCAUUCUUAUAAUUGCAGACAGGGACCCAUAAUUACUAUAAUUGCAGAGGAAGCCCCCGCCUCCAAAUCACCUAACCCGAAUCUGAAAACCUAGGAAAUUCACCAAUUUCUUUAUUCUUCAAAUUUCUGAGGCGUCGCUGGCCCUUUUCCGGCUUGAAGGCGCUGCUAUGAUGAACAACAACAGCGUCGCGCGCUGCUGUGUUCGGCUAUUGCUGCUGUCAUACUAAGUCGUCAGGCAGCACUAGGCAGCUCCGGUUGCUGCCCGAUUUUCAGAUCCAUUACCAUAUUUUAUUAUUAUUUUUUAUCUUGUUUUCAAAACUAGAUUUCAAAAAAAAAUGAAAAUCAAAUUUUCAUUAAUUGCUAGAAACUAGUAAAUGUAUAAUAACCAACUUUUGAUUGUACAAAAUGUUAAACAAUUUCUAACAAACACAAAGUAGGCUUUGAUAUCACUGUUAAGAAUCUACUUAACAUGCGCAGCGAAAAUUAAAACAAUUUUCGAUUCCCACUAAGAAUCGCCUUUGUGUUUAGAUAAAAAUUGUGAUAAGAUUGUACUUUUUCCAGAUCUGCAAACUUCUUUGUUAUUCUUUUCGUUCCAACAAUCUUGAUUCGCCACCCAUAGCUGUCCAAUUGUCCAGCCUCCAACAGUGAUCCACACAGAGAACAAGAUUGUAGCUAUCAUGAUUUUCUCCUCUUGUACUAGCAAGAAUAAUUAUGAGAAAAAACACAUAUGAAUUGAAAACUCUAGCCAUGUAUUUAUAUAAGCUCAAAUGGGCCUAACCUGAUCCGGUCCAAUAUUUAAUUAAUCCAUUUAAUUAAUCCAGUCCGUGAAUUAAUUAAUCCAAUUAACUAACUCGGACCUAUAAAUAACCAAACCAAUUAAUUAAUUUAUUCAACGAUUGUUAAAUUAAUUAAUUGACAAAUUACAAUCUUCCAAUUCUCUUUUGUGUGCGACCCAUCAGGUUCCUAGUCACGAUAUCUAACGAUGUGAAAUAUUAUUUUGAUCUAAUCAAAAUUGAUAAAUUAAAACACCUUUUUAAUUUAUCAUCAAUUCACACUCGCCGUCCCAAAUUGACAUCUAUCAAUGUGUCGUGACAAUACAUGUGACAGGAAAUGUCAUGUGGUAUGACAAAACCAAACUCGUUCAUUUACCGUGAAACUAUAAUCCCUUCGUCAAUAUGAUCCGAUCAAUUACGAGAUAUGAAAGUAUGUCAAUCUCGAUUAUCGAUCAUAUCUUUCACUCCACUAUUCAGUCAAUAUAAGUCGAAAACUUCUUUUCGACUUACGAGUACACAUUGGCCAAGGAUUUCGAUAUCGACUUAAUUGAAUGAAACGCAGAUCAUAAUCUCUUACUAUCUAAGAGUGACGAAUCCUCUAUUGAUCAUUCACAACCUUCAUAUGAUUAUUGACAUACCCGAACGAUGCCGUAUUAGCAGCCAUUGAGAGAGCAACAUCCAAUACCGUCAAAGCAUGACCGUCCUCAUAUAAAGUAUUAUAACGACCUCAAGUCAAAAGGACCAAUUCCACUAUCGAACGUUAGAGAUUAACCACUGACACUCAAAUAGUCAUCCAUGUGGAAUCUCUCGACCGGUCUCCAAUAUUUUGUUUUAUAACAAAACAUCUACGUAUUCAUUUAAGUGUCAUCACACUUUAACUUGUGAGAUUAGCUACUUACUUCAUAAGUAAGAAAUGCCACACAUGAUGAUCUAUUCUUAAUAACGAUAUUCGUAUCUCAUUAUUACUUAUAACCACGGACAAUUUAAGAUUCAAUCAAAUGUAACUUGUAUCUCACAAUCAAAACUCCUUGUGAUUAACAAAUUACGAAGAUUUGAAUCGACGGACUCUAUUAUUUAUUUAAUUGUCUACUAAUUAAAUAAUAGAUCUGCCAUUAAAUUGCAUUAAUUAUAUAUCAAAAAUAUUUAUGUCCAAAAUUGAUUGGACUUAGGGUAUAAUACUUACAAUCAACAUAUCUGUGGAAGCAUUUAGCAGUCCUUAUGCAGCAAAUAUUUCUCCAAAACUUGCAUGCAUAGUUUACAAAAUUAGUCUGCUAACACAAUCUCCUUGCUGCAAGUCCAUGAAAUCAUGGUUUUCAAUGCUGAAGAAUCCAUAAAUGUUGAUUUUAAGGAAAAGGGAAGAGCAAAGGCUACAGAUAUGCCACUCACUCUCAGAUUCUCCAUUUUCCCUCAUCGCGAAUUUGAGACGCUGUUCCAGACAGAAAAAUUGGUAACUUUGAUAUAUUCGUCUGUAAAUUCCAUAACUUGAAACCUCAAACUUUUCUUUUGUUCUGCUCUAGUGUAGUAUGUCCCAUACAAGCAACAAAAGGUUACAUUUCCAUCA
This 7649-nucleotide long non-coding RNA is filed under the name Olea europaea (common olive). RNAcentral's name for it is "long non-coding RNA (OEUR_LNC008065)". The record is from RNAcentral. Lineage: Eukaryota; Viridiplantae; Streptophyta; Magnoliopsida; Lamiales; Oleaceae.